GAAGAACGCCUGUCGGUUAAUACCCGGUAGGAAAGACAUCACUCGCAGAAGAAGCACCGGCUAACUCCGUGCCAGCAGCCGCGGUAAUACGGAGGGUGCAAGCGUUAAUCGGAAUUACUGGGCGUAAAGCGCGCGUAGGUGGCUUGAUAAGCCGGUUGUGAAAGCCCCGGGCUCAACCUGGGAACGGCAUCCGGAACUGUCAGGCUAGAGUGCAGGAGAGGAAGGUAGAAUUCCCGGUGUAGCGGUGAAAUGCGUAGAGAUCGGGAGGAAUACCAGUGGCGAAGGCGGCCUUCUGGACUGACACUGACACUGAGGUGCGAAAGCGUGGGUAGCAAACAGGAUUAGAUACCCUGGUAGUCCACGCCGUAAACGAUGUCGACCAGCCGUUGGGUGCCUAGAGCACUUUGUGGCGAAGUUAACGCGAUAAGUCGACCGCCUGGGGAGUACGGCCGCAAGGUU
This 459-nucleotide ribosomal RNA is filed under the name uncultured bacterium. Its description in RNAcentral is "bacterial SSU rRNA". It matches the Rfam family "Bacterial small subunit ribosomal RNA", at positions 444 to 895 of the family's 1533-position model. The record is from RNAcentral.